Long non-coding RNA from Cebus imitator (Panamanian white-faced capuchin), 528 nucleotides. RefSeq lists it as uncharacterized. The transcript is spliced from 3 exons. The record is from RefSeq and is a predicted model, not a curated record. NCBI's taxonomy places the organism in Eukaryota, Metazoa, Chordata, Mammalia, Primates, Cebidae.
AAGGAUGUGUGUGUAUAGAGGUAAGGGUGGGAACGUGGUUCCAGUCCUCCUCUACUGCUGCUUUUCCAGAAGCUUCUUUGUUCCCACUCUUUUAAGUUCCCAGGCUGACAUUUGGUGGGCUUUUAUGGGAUGGCUGUGCCCAACGUAGACACAUAUAGUUGAGCAGGUUAGGAUUUGGUACGUGUAUGCAGGGAACAAUGCAAAAGGAAAAUUUUCAGUAUCUUUUACUUUUGUUUUUGCUGAUCUCCCCCAACUAUAAUCACGGGGUGAAGUACAGCUGUGGGAAACCCCAGGGGCAGGUCCCCUGUCCCCUUCCUGCCACUCGACACACCUCAGGAGGACUACAAAAGGAAACAUAUCAAUCAUCACAACUUGCCCGUGACUGUUGCAUGUCAAGUGGCUGGAACCAAUCAGCUCAUCUAAGGCUUCCUCAGAAGCCAAUCAGAGCCUUGGAAAGUGACCUCACACAAAGGAGAGCUAUGUGGGCGAGAAAGAACCUCUCAGAUCUCUGUAAUCAUCCUUUGUAAA